GACGUUUAUUCGCUCUCUCUCGCGCGUUCUUCUCUCGGAUGAGUCCAGUGGUUGACUUGCUGAAGCAGAACGUCCUCUGCAUUAUGGAAGAUGAUAUGUUAGAAAUGCUUCUUUAGUAUCUACUUAUUGGUAUAGUGCUGUCCCUUAAGUCUUGCCCUGGUUAUUAGUUAAGUAGUUAACAGUAGCUACUUUGGAGCAUGGGGACUUGCAGAACCAUGCACGUGGGCAACUCUGAACGUUUUGAAACCAUGCCGUGCUGUCUGUACCUGGCUUAUGUGGACUGAACUGAAGCCGUACACGCCAAUGACUGCGCACAUGGCAGACGCUGCCUUGAUGACUUGAUUUUAAAGUAGACUUAACCUCGAAAGGUGUGGAACUGAAUCAAGGAUGUGGCUGGAGUGGAGACAUCAUCUUUAAAGGUGUGCAACAGAACCAAGGAUGUGGAUGGUGUGGAGGCAUCUGAAAAGGUUGGGAGACUACUCCCUCCUGGCCUGUGGCUGAACCAUACACAUGAAGCCAUACACACGGCAAG
This is a long non-coding RNA of Oncorhynchus tshawytscha (Chinook salmon), 532 nucleotides long. RefSeq lists it as uncharacterized. The record is from RefSeq and is a predicted model, not a curated record. NCBI's taxonomy places the organism in Eukaryota, Metazoa, Chordata, Actinopteri, Salmoniformes, Salmonidae. The transcript is spliced from 6 exons.